UAGGGAAUAUUAGUAAUGGGCGAAAGCCUGAACUAGCAACACCGCGUGUGCGAAGAAGGCCUUCGGGUUGUAAAGCACUUUUUGGAAGGAAUAGGAAGGAAUGUACUUCCAGAAUAAGUCUCGGCUAACUACGUGCCAGCAGCCGCGGUAACACGUAGGAGGCGAACGUUAUCCGGAUUUACUGGGCGUAAAGCGCGUGUAGGUGGUUCUGUAAGUAGGGCGUGAAAGCUCCUGGCUCAACUGGGAGAGGCCGUUCUAAACUACAGAACUAGAGGAUGGUAGAGGGAGGUGGAAUUCCGGGUGUAGCGGUGGAAUGCGCAGAUAUCCGGAGGAACACCAGUGGCGAAAGCGGCCUCCUGGACCAUUCCUGACACUCAGACGCGAAAGCUAGGGUAGCAAACG
Molecule: ribosomal RNA, 402 nt
Filed under: uncultured prokaryote
Description: bacterial SSU rRNA
Rfam family: Bacterial small subunit ribosomal RNA
Source: RNAcentral